AACGAACGCUGGCGGCAUGCUUAACACAUGCAAGUCGAGCGCCCCGCACGGGGCGCGGCGGGCGGGUGUGUAACGCGUGGGGACAUACCCUCAUCUGUGCGAUAGCCCCGGGAAACUGGAAUUAUUACCGAAUGUGCCCUUUGGGGGAAAGAUUUAUCGGAUAAGGAUCGGGGCGCGUGGGAUUUGCUAGUUGGUAGGGUAAAGGCCUACCAAGGCGACGAUCCAUAGCUGGGCUGAGAGGAUGAUCAGCCACACUGGGACUGAGACACGGCCCAAACUCCUACGGGAGGCAGCAGUGGGGAAUAUUGGACAAUGGGCGCAAGCCUGAUCCAGCCAUGCCGCGUGAGUGAUGAAGGCCUUAGGGUUGUAAAGCUCUUUCACCCGAGAAGAUAAUGACGGUAUCGGGAGAAGAAGCCCCGGCUAACUUCGUG
RNAcentral lists this ribosomal RNA (431 nucleotides) under uncultured bacterium. Its description in RNAcentral is "partial 16S ribosomal RNA". It matches the Rfam family "Bacterial small subunit ribosomal RNA", at positions 29 to 507 of the family's 1533-position model. The record is from RNAcentral.